GCGUCUGAUUAGCUGGUUGGUGAGGUAACGGCUCACCAAGGCAACGAUCAGUAGCCGACCUGAGAGGGUAAUCGGCCACAUUGGAACUGAGACACGGUCCAAACUCCUACGGGAGGCAGCAGUGGGGAAUAUUGCACAAUGGGCGCAAGCCUGAUGCAGCAACGCCGCGUGAGUGAAGAAGGUCUUCGGAUCGUAAAACUCUGUCCUUAGGGAAGAAACAAAUGACGGUACCUAAGGAGGAAGCCCCGGCUAACUACGUGCCAGCAGCCGCGGUAAUACGUAGGGGGCGAGCGUUAUCCGGAAUUAUUGGGCGUAAAGAGUACGUAGGUGGUUUUGUAAGCGUGGGGUGAAAGACCGAGGCUUAACUUCGGUUAGCCUUGCGAACUGCAAGACUUGAGUGCAGGAGAGGAAAGUGGAAUUCCUAGUGUAGCGGUGAAAUGCGUAGAUAUUAGGAGGAACAUCAGUGGCGAAGGCGACUUUCUGGACUGUAACUGACACUGAGGUACGAAAGCGUGGGUAGCAAACAGGAUUAGAUACCCUGGUAGUCCACGCCGUAAACGAUGAGCACUAGGUGUCGGGGUCGCAAGGCUUCGGUGCCGCAGUUAACGCAUUAA
Molecule: ribosomal RNA, 614 nt
Filed under: uncultured bacterium
Lineage: Bacteria
Description: bacterial SSU rRNA
Rfam family: Bacterial small subunit ribosomal RNA
Source: RNAcentral